UACGUAGGGAGCGAGCGUUGUCCGGAUUCAUUGGGCGUAAAGAGCUCGUAGGCGGCUUGGUAAGUCGGAUGUGAAACCUCCAGGCUCAACCUGGAGUCGCCAUCCGAUACUGCCAUGGCUAGAGUCCGGUAGGGGCCCACGGAAUUCCUGGUGUAGCGGUGAAAUGCGCAGAUAUCAGGAGGAACACCGAUGGCGAAGGCAGUGGGCUGGGCCGGCACUGACGCUCAGGCACGAAAGCGCGGGGAGCAAACAGG
Molecule: ribosomal RNA, 254 nt
Filed under: uncultured bacterium
Lineage: Bacteria
Description: partial 16S ribosomal RNA
Rfam family: Bacterial small subunit ribosomal RNA
Source: RNAcentral